UCCUCUGGUGAAUCUCUGAAGAAUAAAUAUCUGAAGUCACUUACUACAAGUUCAUCAUUAAUUCUGUCCUAUUCAUAUUCAUCUACCUCUUGAUGGCUGGAUAAAAGAAAGAGUUGAGGCUUUAGAAUGCUUGGAAAGUGGAUGUUGUAAAAAAAGAAGAAAAUAGAAGCCAUCACAGAAAGGUUAACUUGGAAUGCACACAGUCUUUUUCAGUCAAUAAAUCUGGUGAAAGCAUAAAUCUUCUGUAAUGAAGAUGGUGAAGUGUCAGGUCUCCCUCUUUCAAGAAAAAAUACUUACAAUGAAGCUGAGCCUGAA
Molecule: long non-coding RNA, 315 nt
Filed under: Numida meleagris (helmeted guineafowl)
Lineage: Eukaryota; Metazoa; Chordata; Aves; Galliformes; Numididae
Description: lncRNA (ENSNMEG00000011224.1)
Source: RNAcentral